AUGGACACGGAGAACUCCUGGGUUAGGAGGACUAAGUUUUCGCACACCGUCUACACAAGGGUUGCUUCCCAUGGGGUGCAUGUGGCUCCUCUUGGCAGAGAUGUGGAGCAGAGACUUCAGAGAUUUGUGAGUAUGGGUAAGUCUGUGACGAUGCCCAUUGAUCGAGGCAAUGAUGAAAGAGUGGCUGCGCUGAAGCAUACUGCUAGUCUGCCAUCACUCCGAUCCUCACUCCAGCCUAAUGAGAAAAAGGCCAGCAAGCAGAAGAUGAGUUUGGAGAUUCCUUUGAGCCCUCCGGCAAAGUCUGAGAAAUCCAAGGCCCCAAGGGCGAGGAGCCUGGUCAAGAGCCCAAGCUCGAUGAUGCUCCUUAGCUACUUAAAUAAUGCACACACAAGUCAGGGCUCCAACCUUCGUCAAAAGGCUAAUGGAUCUCAUCACAAGCUGAGAUCCAAGUCCCCUCUUCCCAGCGUAGUGCCUUCAGAUACAUUCAGGGAAGCGAGGGCCAGCAGUCAGAGGUUCACAAGCCCUCCCCCGAAGCGUGUGGGAUCUGAUAAAAGUGUCUAUGGCAAAUCGCUGGGCAGGGAAGGGUGUGAUAUGGGUCCAAGCCCUGAUUGGUGUUCGACUCCGGUGGUCUCUGAUAAGCACAAUUCUCAGAAGGAUAGCUCAUGGACCAGAAGAUACUUUGACAAUGGGGGAAGGAGGAGGGUUAGUGCAGUAGAGACUGUGAGGAGCCGUACAGUUAGCAUGGCUCAAGCGGUGCAAUCGACAGUUGAUUGGGAACUUGAUCCAACCAAGCUGCUUGUUGGCCAUAGGUUUGCUUCUGGGGCACAUAGUAGGCUAUACAGAGGACUUUACGAUGAUAAGCCGGUUGCCCUUAAAUUUAUCCGCCGGCCUAAGAAUGACGCUGGUGGGAUAAUAGCUGCAAAGCUUGACAAACAAUAUAACACUGAGGUCAAUGCAUUGUCUCAUCUGCAUCAUAAGCAUGUGAUCAAGCUUGUAGCAGCUCAUAGAGUUGGACCGGUUUAUUACAUUAUUACGGAGCUUCUUCCUGGAGGUUCCUUGAGGUCAUACCUGCACAACCCAGAGCACUGCCCCCUCCCUCUGGAGAGGACCAUAUCCAUCGCUCUGGAGAUUGCCCGAGGGUUGGAGUACAUCCACUCUCAGGGAGUUGUCCACCGCGACAUUAAGCCGGAGAACAUCCUUUUUGAUGAGAAGUUCGAGGUGAAGAUUGCUGAUUUCGGCAUUGCCUGUGAGGAGACGUUAUGUGAUCUGCUAGUGGACGAUGAGGGCACGUACCGCUGGAUGGCCCCUGAGAUGCUAAAGCGCAAGCCGUACAACCGGAAGGUGGAUGUAUAUAGCUUUGGACUGCUGCUGUGGGAGAUGGUGACCGGAAGAAUUCCUUUCGAGAACCUCUCCCCGGUCCAGGUGGCUUAUGCCGUCGCGAAUAACAACAAGAAAGCGAUGGAACCUGAAGAUUAUUGCCCGGCAGCAGUGAGACCCCUGAUUGAGCAGUGCUGCGCAUUGCAGCCCGAGAAGAGGCCAGAUUUCUGGCAGAUCGUGAAAACCCUGGAGAAGAUCCAGUCUGUUAUGUCGCAGGGCGGCUGCCUGGACGCGCUGAGGAGCAGUGACCACAAGAAGGGGCUUAAGCACUGGAUUCAGAAACUGAAACCAUCACACGGCGCCUGA
RNAcentral lists this ribosomal RNA (1683 nucleotides) under Triticum aestivum (bread wheat). RNAcentral's name for it is "partial small subunit ribosomal RNA". Lineage: Eukaryota; Viridiplantae; Streptophyta; Magnoliopsida; Poales; Poaceae. The record is from RNAcentral.